Molecule: ribosomal RNA, 303 nt
Filed under: uncultured bacterium
Lineage: Bacteria
Description: partial 16S ribosomal RNA
Rfam family: Bacterial small subunit ribosomal RNA
Source: RNAcentral
AGCAGUCGCCGCGGGAAUACGUAGGGUGCAAGCGUUAAUCGGAAUUACUGGGCGUAAAGCGUGCGCAGGCGGUUUUGUAAGACAGAGGUGAAAUCCCAGGGCUCAACCUGGGAACUGCCUUUGUGACUGCAAGGCUAGAGUACGGCAGAGGGGGAUGGAAUUCCGCGUGUAGCAGUGAAAUGCGUAGAUAUGCGGAGGAACACCGAUGGCGAAGGCAAUCCCCUGGGCCUGUACUGACGCUCAUGCACGAAAGCGUGGGGAGCAAACAGGAUUAGAUACCCGUGUAGUCCCUGUCUCUUAUAC